RNAcentral lists this ribosomal RNA (475 nucleotides) under uncultured bacterium. RNAcentral describes it as "partial 16S ribosomal RNA". It matches the Rfam family "Bacterial small subunit ribosomal RNA", at positions 28 to 507 of the family's 1533-position model. The record is from RNAcentral.
GAUGAACGCUGGCGGCGUGCUUAACACAUGCAAGUCGAACGAUGAACCUCACUUGUGGGGGGAUUAGUGGCGAACGGGUGAGUAACACGUGAGUAACCUGCCCUUGACUCUGGGAUAAGCCUGGGAAACCGGGUCUAAUACUGGAUACGACCUUCUGGCGCAUGCCAUGUUGGUGGAAAGCUUUUGUGGUUUUGGAUGGACUCGCGGCCUAUCAGCUUGUUGGUGGGGUAAUGGCCUACCAAGGCGACGACGGGUAGCCGGCCUGAGAGGGUGACGGGCCACACUGGGACUGAGACACGGCCCAGACUCCUACGGGAGGCAGCAGGGGGGAAUAUUGCACAAUGGGCGCAAGCCUGAUGCAGCGACGCCGCGUGAGGGAUGAAGGCCGUCGGGUUGUAAACCUCUGUCAGUAGGGAAGAAGCCGGCUUUUGGGUUGGUGACGGUACCUGCAGAAGAAGCGCCGGCUAACUACGUG